GUGGGUUUGGAUCCCAACCAACCACAUGUACGUUAAUGCACAUUGCAGCAUUUGCUCUGGAAACAGAAUGAUCAAAAUGCCAUGACAGUAUAGAAGCUGUCUCGUGGGAAAUGAACUGUAUUUUCACACUGCGAGGAUGAUGAUAUACACGUCCAGCUUACAUGCCAGCAACAAAGCGCUAGAGCAACCUAGAAAGAGAAGAGUACUACUGUUCCUGAAAAGGCGAAAAGCUACCUCACACGGUCCGGGGCAACGCGAAACCACGGCGCUCCCACAGACCCCCCGCUUGACCUCCCUGUACUGCCCCGCCCGCUGCCCUUACGCGGCUCCGCCCACCCUCGUUGCAACAGCAAUCAGAUCGCACGUGACCCUGGAUUCCAAUUCUAUUGGGCAAGAUGAGGAGG
This is a long non-coding RNA of Haemorhous mexicanus (house finch), 404 nucleotides long. RefSeq lists it as uncharacterized. NCBI's taxonomy places the organism in Eukaryota, Metazoa, Chordata, Aves, Passeriformes, Fringillidae. The record is from RefSeq and is a predicted model, not a curated record. The transcript is spliced from 3 exons.